UUGAGUGUUGCGAUGAGGGGACGGAGAAGGCUACACCAGCCGGGGAUUGGUAGUCCCGGUUUAACGCCGUAGGGAGGCGCUCCAGGCAAAUCCGGAGCGUCAAUCCUGAGAGCGGAUGACGAGUCCUUCGGGACGAAGUGGUCGAUGCCCAGCUUCCAGGAAAAGCCUCUAAGCUUCAGGCACUCAACAACCGUACCCCAAACCGACACAGGUGGGCGAGGAGAGUAUCCUCAGGCGCUGGAGAGAACUCGGGUGAAGGAACUCGGCAAACUAGCACCGUAACUUCGGGAGAAGGUGCGCCCGUGGUACGUGAAGCCCCUUGCGGGUGGAGCGGACGCGGGCCGCAGUGACCAGGUGGCUGCGACUGUUUACUAAAAACACAGCACUCUGCCAACACGAAAGUGGACGUAUAGGGUGUGACGCCUGCCCGGUGCCGGAAGGUUAAUUGAUGGGGCCAGCCGCAAGGCAAAGCUCUUGAUCGAACCCCCGGUAAACGGCGGCCGUAACAAUAACGGUCCUAAGGUAGCGAAAUUCCUUGUCGGGUAAGUUCCGACCUGCACGAAUGGCGUAACGAUAGCCACACUGUCUCCACCCGAGACUCCGUGAAAUUGAAAUCGCUGUUAAGAUGCAGCGUACCCGCGGCAAGACGGAAAGACCCCGUGAACCUUUACUACAGCUUUGCACUGGAUUUUGAGCGUUCUUGUGUAGGAUAGGUGGGAGGCUUUGAAGCCCCGACGCCAGUCGGAGUGGAGCCAACCUUGAAAUACCACCCUGGAACGCUCGGGAUUCUAACCUCGGACCCUUAUCGGGUUCAGGGACCGUGCAUGGUGGGUAGUUUGACUGGGGCGGUCUCCUCCCAAAGCGUAACGGAGGAGCGCGAAGGUACCCUCAGCGCGGUCGGAAAUCGCGCAGUGCGUGCAAAGGCAAAAGGGUGCUUGACUGCGAGACGGACAGGUCGAGCAGGUGCGAAAGCAGGUCUUAGUGAUCCGGUGGUUCCUGAUGGAAGGGCCAUCGCUCAACGGAUAAAAGGUACUCCGGGGAUAACAGGCUGAUACCGCCCAAGAGUCCAUAUCGACGGCGGUGUUUGGCACCUCGAUGUCGGCUCAUCACAUCCUGGGGCUGUAGUCGGUCCCAAGGGUAUGGCUGUUCGCCAUUUAAAGUGGUACGCGAGCUGGGUUUAGAACGUCGUGAGACAGUUCGGUCCCUAUCUGCCGUGGGCGUUGGAGUGUUGCGGGGAGCUGUUCCUAGUACGAGAGGACCGGAAUGGACAGACCUCUGGUGUACCGGUUGUUCUGCCAAGAGCACCGCCGGGUAGCCACGUCCGGACGGGAUAACCGCUGAAAGCAUCUAAGCGGGAAGCCCCCCCAAGAUGAGCACUCCCGAGUCCUUGAGACUCCUAAAGGUCCGUGGAAGACCACCACGUGGAUAGGCGUGGCGGUGAACGCGCGGUAACGCGUGCAGCCGACCCGUACUAAUCAACCGUGCGGCUUGAUCCG
Molecule: ribosomal RNA, 1496 nt
Filed under: metagenome
Description: bacterial LSU rRNA
Rfam family: Bacterial large subunit ribosomal RNA
Source: RNAcentral